This 406-nucleotide ribosomal RNA is filed under the name uncultured bacterium. RNAcentral describes it as "partial 16S ribosomal RNA". It matches the Rfam family "Bacterial small subunit ribosomal RNA", at positions 30 to 526 of the family's 1533-position model. The record is from RNAcentral.
AUUGACCGCUGGCGGCAGGCCUACCACAUGCAAGUCGAACGAGUGGCGGACGGGUGAGUAAUGUCUGGGAAACUGCCUGAUGGAUGGGGAUAACUACUGGAAACGUUCGCUAAUACCGCAUACCAUCAGAUGUGCCCAGAUGGGAUUAGCUAGUUGGUGGGGUAACGGCUCACCAAGGCGACGAUCCCUAGCUGGUCUGAGAGGAUGACCAGCCACACUGGAACGGAGAUACGGUCCAGACUCCUACGGGAGGCAGCAGUGGGGAAUAUUGCACAAUGGGCGCAAGCCUGAUGCAGACAUGCCGCGUGGAUGAAGGAGGCAGUCGGGUUGUAAAGUAAUUUCAGCGGGGAGGCGGUACCCGAAGAAGAAGCAACGGCUAACGCCGUGCCAGCAGCCGCGGUAAUAC